CUGCAACAAAUUCCCCAAGAAAAAGCCUAAGGAUGUCUGUGUCCAAUUCUACUGCCCAUGAAGCAAGCUCCCAGCGUCUCUGCCUAGAAUACACAUUAAAUCUCUGUUUCACACAGAGGCAGCUAAAGCAUAAAUUAAAGUCAAGAUUUUCCAAAAUAGGAACACAGUGCCUUCCACAGAAAGGUGUGAGAAGAAAGGAUGCUAUGCUGUUAGACCUUAUCACAGUGCUCCUGGUGCCAUGAUAACACUACAGAAAGAGCCGCCUGCAAACAUUCCCCUGCACCUGGAGAAAUAGAGAUUUUUGUAUGGUCUACCAGAAAAUGUUAAGCCCUAAAAAGAAAUGUGCAAAAAUCUGAAGCCUUUGAAGAGAGGUAUUUUUUAUGAACAACACACCUGGUUCUGCACUUGCCAAACCUAUAUCAUAGGAAACCUUCACAUUUCAGCUACUAUACAAGUGUGAAUGAAGACCUGGACAUCCAGUUCCAGAGAAGGUUCCAAGCCAAGGGCUCAAAUCUUGCACACAAAACCGAAUAAACCCUCUGGACAUCCAGGGGUGGAGUCUUCUGCUCUCCCUAUUCUCGAUGACUACUCCAGACCUUGGGAUCUGACUCCAAGCAAAGAGGGACUUAUUUUAGUCAUUGAGGUUCACUGGCCUCCUAAAUGCUUUGUUCAUGUUUUUAAAUCUCACAAAUUUCAUAUUGAAAAUCAAUUGCUGUCCUGUCUAAAUCCUGCAAAUCUAACUCAAAUAUUUUUUUUUUCCCCUCUGGCAGGCAUUCAAUUAGUCUGCUUGCUUGAGUAAGGAUUACUUAUAUGAGAAAAAGUUUGUGAUAUGAAGCUCAUUAAACUCUUGGUUCAUCAGGUGAAGGGAAAAGAUCUGCAUUUCAAAAUGUGUCUAUUCCUCUUAUUAGAUUUUCUUUGGCUUUUUGUUCUGUUUCAGAUCAUUCACUUAUUUACUCUGAGCUUAUUGUGCCUUCUGUCAGUGUCAAUAUGGCUCAGCUGGCAGCAGAUGCUCCUCUAGAUUUGAGCACACUGGUGUGAAAUAACGAGAAUGGAAUGAGAAUUGAUGUGAACCUUUGCCUCAAAUCUGAACUGAAGCCUUAA
Anas platyrhynchos (mallard) is the source of this 1101-nucleotide non-coding RNA. The record is from RefSeq and is a predicted model, not a curated record. Lineage: Eukaryota; Metazoa; Chordata; Aves; Anseriformes; Anatidae.